This 497-nucleotide ribosomal RNA is filed under the name uncultured bacterium. Its description in RNAcentral is "partial 16S ribosomal RNA". It matches the Rfam family "Bacterial small subunit ribosomal RNA", at positions 28 to 507 of the family's 1533-position model. The record is from RNAcentral.
GAGGAACGCUGGCGGCGUGCCUAAUACAUGCAAGUCGAGCGAACAGACGAGGAGCUUGCUCCUCUGACGUUAGCGGCGAACGGGUGAGUAACACGUGGAUAACCUACCUAUAAGACUGGGAUAACUUCGGGAAACCGGAGCUAAUACCGGAUAAUAUAUUGAACCGCAUGGUUCAAUAGUGAACGACGGUUUUGCUGUCACUUAUAGAUGGAUCCGCGCCGCAUUAGCUAGUUGGUAAGGUAACGGCUUACCAAGGCGACGAUGCGUAGCCGACCUGAGAGGGUGAUCGGCCACACUGGAACUGAGACACGGUCCAGACUCCUACGGGAGGCAGCAGCAGGGAAUCUUCCGCAAUGGGCGAAAGCCUGACGGAGCAACGCCGCGUGAGUGAUGAAGGUCUUCGGAUCGUAAAACUCUGUUAUUAGGGAAGAACAAAUGUGUAAGUAACUAUGCACGUCUUGACGGUACCUAAUCAGAAAGCCACGGCUAACUACGUG